UGUCCUCUGAGAGCCCUCCCCAACUCCCCUCUUGCCAUUUGUCACUCUGCUACCAAUACCACCUGGCGUAUAAUUGUGCUGCUGAAAGGUCUCCCUGACUUGACCCUGCCAUCCCUGAGGGCAGGGACAAGGUCCUUUAUUUUGGGGUCCCCAGUUCCCGACACAGAGAUGUUUAUGGAAGGAAAUCACCAGGAAACCCGGACUUGAAUUCCAUCAUUACCACCUUCCCAACCAUGUGCCCUUGGCCUCACUGGGCCUCCAUUUUCUUGCCUGCCUCCCUGCCUCCCUGCCAGGUUGGUGGAGGGGCGCUUUCCAUGAGUCUCUGCAACAGAUGUGUUUUGGAGACACUAAUCAAUACACACAAAUAGGGCCCAAAGAAGCAAGGCCGCCCACCCCAUCCCCUUCCUGGGGAUGCAGCUGAGAGGGGCCCCAGCUUCUGCAGACGCCUGGAUCCCUUUCUUGCCCCUCCCCGCCGCCCCCGCCCCCCUCGGCUCCAGGUGUCUGUCUCUCCGGCUCCGUUCUUUCCUGAUCCGGUUCAAAGGAACAAGAAAUCUGGGAGUGACGGCCACGGGGCGGGGGAAGGAGGGUGCAGGGGGCGGACAAAGCCAGCCCGCUCCGUCCAAAAGGAGGGCGCUCGGGCUCUGCGGGCAUCCACUCCACGGCAACUCUGACAGCUCAGCUCCCGCGAGGGGGAAGGCCGGAUGGGGCCAGCUCAGGGGAGGGGGGCCGCCCUAGUUAGAGCCCUCAGAUGCUCCUUUGAAAGCCUUUGCAGCCGUCCCCAGCCCUGGGGGCAGGGGUGGUGUAAUAAUAAUAAAACAACAUUUGCAUAGAGACUUCGUUUACAAAGCACUUUCUCAGGGGCGGGAGGCGCCGGGGUGGCCGGUGGAAUCCUGGCUGGGAGGCGGCGGCCUCGGGUUGGUUGCACCCCCGCCACCCCUCGGCCCUGCUCGUGGACUGUGCGAGGUGAACAAAGGGCCAUUCAUCCAACUGCUUCCGAUUCCUCUGGAUUUCAUUCCUCUUCUCCGCCCCGGGAAGAGCUCACUCCAGCUCAGGCCCGAGGAGGGAGGUCAGGAGUCCCAGGGGCGGCGUGGGCUGGACCCGAGGGAAGGGAAGGGGGGAGGCAGGGCCCUCCCUCCCUCCGCACCCCCCCCCGCCCCCACACCGUCUGGCUCCUGGGCGCCUGUGAAUCAGAGCUUCGGGGGCCGCCUCGCUGGGGCUGGUUUCUGCGACUCCUCACAGCUCACCUGCAGCUGUGUCUUCACCUCGAAAGGUCGGGCUCAGCUGUGUGCAGCUUCUUCGCUAAAGGGCUCUGCCACAAAGGGAAGCUGUGUCCAUUCUGACCCGACCGAGGGGAGACGCUGGUGUGUGCAAACCCAGGCUCCGGGGGCUGUGCAAGACGGGCGACCAGUGCAAGUUCCCGCACCAGUACGAUGUCACCACGUCACCCGAGUGCUACUUCUGCUCCAAGUUCAAUCGUUGACUGCAACAAGGAAUGUCCAUUUCUCCACGUGACGCCAGACUUCAAGAACCAGGACUGUCUGUGGUUUGACCAAGAUUUCUGCAAGGAUGGUGAGCCCCAACAGAAGGGGGCGCUAGGGGGUACAGGUCCCCUGUAUAAAUACCGCCACGUCCACGGGAUAAUGUGUAUUAACUACUUGGCAGGCUUCUGCCCCGAGGGACCCCAGAGCCACUUUGCACAGUAAGUAUGACUCCCACCCUACCCCCGAGUGCUGGGCCCAGCCCACUGGCUUUCAGACCUAGAACCUUCCAUGCCUUCACCAGCCCAAGCUGGGGAGCCAAGUGUCUGGCGAGCACCCUCGCAAUCGUCUCCGAGCAUCGCUCACCCUUCACGCGCCCCUCCGUAGUGCUGUCGGCUGCACUGAACUCUAACCCAUCCUGUUAGCGCGGAUUCACGCUGGGGAUGGGCGUACAGCUCUUCACAGACUGUUCUAGAAAUAGGAAUAGAGACAUUCAACACCCACCCUGCCCCCAUCCUUUGCAGUUCUCUCACUGCCUGGCUGGGGUGCCGGCUCCUGCCCCGUGGGGUUCUGAAACAGGAAACCUGCAGCAGGCUGGCGCAGGGCAUGUUAAUGAGCAGGUGAUGGGUAGGGGGGAGGCUAGAGCCCGGCUGUAACCGUCUCUCCACGCUUCCCUCAGUCCCAGGAUGAAUCUUUUAUUCAACCCAAGUUACCUGAAGGUGAGUGCAGGCAGGAAGGGGUAGAGGGGCUCUUUCCUUCACUACCCACUCCUCGGAGCACUUCCUCCCCAGCCCUGCACUGCUCCCAGCGGCCCUCACUCGUGCAGCAUCUGGGAAAGGCACCCAUAUGUGGUUCCUUCAGUCCCCUGCCCCCCGGCCCCCAUCUUCCCUGCUUUAGGGGGAGCAUCUCAGCUUCUCAGCCCCUGAGGCUUUCCUUCUCUUUAGCUGGCUAAGACAUGUGUGGUUUUUAUAUUAAAGAAUGUGGGGUCUAGCUGAGGACUUGUGGUCCAGAGUUGUUCUGAAUCAGGGCCAUCCUGGGUGUACCUGGUCUCCAUGGACACAGAUACUCUUCCCACGGACCCCAAGCAUUGAUGGGAACCUCCAUCCCAGGUCAGCAAAUCUCAACCUGAGGGGCCAAAUGUAGCCCUUUACCUGUGUUUUUUUUUUUUUUUUUGUACAGCCUAGGACCUAAUAAUGAUUUUUUGAAGGUUAUGAACCAAAAAUUCAAAGUAAUAAUUUUGUGAGACGUGGAAAUGAAAAUUCCAGUGCUCAUAAAUAGCUUCACUGGCACAGGGUCAAGCUCAUCACUUACACAUUGUCUCUGACUGUUCUGCUUACGAUGGCAGAGCUGAAUAGCUGCAAGAGACCAGAUGGCUCGCAAAGCCAAAAAUAUUUACUAUUUGGUUUUCUACAGAAAAAGCUUUGCUUAUUCCUGGUCUGGAUGACUGGAUGUUGGCCUGCCAGUUAAUCUGACAGAGGCCAAAAUGGGAGCAUGGAAUGUUGGGGGCAGCUACUGAGCUCUUGUUAAUGAGGGGUUCUGCAACCCAGUCAAUCAGCGAGAGGGCCCAGCGCUGGGUUAGGACGGUGCUGGCACGGGAGGAGGGCGACCCCUGCUGGUUGCUGGUGGGAAGCCUCCUACAACAGGAAUUCACAAGCCCACUUUCUCCAUCAAAAGCUAUGCUUUAGGCAGUUCAGGGCAUUUCAAUGGAAUGAGGGCAUUUCACUACCUGGUUCCUGGCCAGAGCCUCUGCCCUCUGUGUAAACCCUGUCUACAGAUGGAGGCUCUGCAAUGUUUCCUCCUGGUUUCACUUUAUCUGCAGCUUGUCAAGAGCCACCCAGUUCCCCACCUCCUGCUUCUGCCUGGGAAGCUGGCAAGCCCCUUCCCCAACAGGCUUCGGGCUUCCUUCCCCAUCCUAAGAGGCCCUAGGGGCACCAGGUCACCUACCGCCUGGGGCUCAGGUGCUGGAGAAGGGAGCCUGAUGUGGGUGAGUGAUAAUGGGGCCGGGCUCCUGCUCUGUUGAGGCUGAGGGGAGAGGUGAUCAGCUGGAGAAAGUGAAGCUCCUUUUCUGAAGCAGGUAAGAAAACCAGACCCUGGGCUUAGGCGUGUGAAUUAAGAGGAUGGGGGGAACUGAGCUGGCAAACCAAAUGUCCCAGCUCUAGCCUCUCAAUAACCUGAUCUUGUUUGCAUCUCCUGCCAGACCAUUUAUUUAAAAGGCUAGUAAGUUACACAUUUCAUUCCCUAUUCUGCUGCCAGUGGUUCCCCGAGUUAUUGCUAUACCAUGGUCUGAGGGUCUGGCAGGGGUCGGGGGCAGCCUGGAAAGGAGGGGAAGGUCACACCUUGGAGCUCUCGGUUGCUGUCUUCUGCCUCCAGGAAGAACACCAUGUCUGACGCCUCCCUGAGACCCGCCUCCAUGUCGUCCUGACCUUCACCUUGUCUACUCUGCAAGAGGACAGCACUUAACAGGAUGGGAGUGUUGAAAAGAGCUACUAUGCCAGUCAGACUCAACUGGUAGGAGUUAUCAAAAACUGACCUGGUCUGUCUUGGGAAGUCGAGGACCUUCUUUCUGGUGAAGAUGCCCAAGGCCAUCCUGGGGGAUUCUCUGUCCCCAGCGCCCGGGCAAGUCCACUGCCAGCCUCGGCAGGAAAGGAGGUGCAGCAGCGGCCUGCACGUCUGGGUGCAUUUCCUCUUCUGUAAGUGAACGAGCUACUAAAAAUACAGCGGGAUGGUGGCAGAUUGUGGCAGGAACGAGUUAUUCCUAAGAGUGGGGAGCAAAGUGUCCAUAAACCCAAAGCUCAAGUGUGUACGGGAGAGACGGUCGUAUCCUCUGCUCAGCUCCCGCGCUGCUGCUGCUGCAGACAGUUCUGGGCGGCACGCGGCAGCUCCUGCACAUAUGGCCUCCACUGCUGCUAUAAAUUGGCAAUUAAAUCAAGUGUUUCUUUAUCAUGACAGCUGCUCCCUAUGGCUUAAAGUUUAGACUGUGCGAGCCUUGUGUGAGGACUGACGAGAUAGAUGGUUCAUGUGACGCUUAUCCUGGGGGGAGUGAGGAAGAGACGGGGAAGGUUGAAAGCCGUGCUGUCUACGCCACUGUGUAGCUUAACCCACUGGGAGAGGAGCAGGGAGGCGGAGCGUUUCAGGAGAAAACAGCGCCAAUUUAGUGUGGUAGGACAGGCUCACCGUACCUUUGGCAGAGGCGGGCACCUGCCUUAUCUUGCCUGGAGCAGGGAAGGGGGUGGUGGUGGUGGUGGUAAGGGGGCAAGGCAAUCUAAAAAGAAUGCCAGCCCGGGGACAGAUCUGGGGCUCUGAAUGCUGGCCCCACCCCGGGCUGCUGUGACCAACCCCACACAGCCAUGCAGGCUCAUGACUGAACCGCCUCUGCCCUUUUCCUCUUCUGGAAAAGUGUGAUGACAGCACUGGCCUCAGAGGAUGCUCGUGAGGAUAACAUGAGAGAUGCAGGUACGUGAGCCUGGAGUGUGGUGGGGCCCUUGCUCUUUGGUUCACGUUCAGGAUGUGAAAGCAGUAUGAUGCCAUAAGGCGUUUUAGAGAAGCUGUUACUUCGUGCCAACAUCGUGUCAGAGCUUGCUGGAAUUAACAGAUACAAGGCUCUUCUUCACAUCUCUGCAAAGUAGGUAUAAUUAUGCUCAUUUGACAGUGUGGACCAAGGAGGCGCCGAUUAAGUUUUAAGUUCCGUAACUUGCCCAAGGACACACCUACUGAGCCAUUUCACAGGUGAGGUCUGAAAGAGGCAAAUAAUCAGGAGAAAUACUUUUGGAAAGCACUUUUGUUAUGAAGAGGGGUAGUAAUAUGUAGGAGGUACAUGGCAGGGAGGAUCAGGUAUGGAGAGUCAUCAGGAUAAAAUGUCAAUCAGGAAAAAACACACUGAUAAACAGGAAGAUAGGGUUUUACAUAAAGCAUAAAAUAAGCCAUUGAUAAUAUAACAAAAUGACUUUAUUCUCAACAGCUGAAUAAACAUUCCUUCCCCAGGGAUAUGAGCACUGGGAUUAAUCUCGGUAGGUGGCAGGGCCUUCAGGCAGGCCUGUGAGUACUUCCAGCCUCCAGCCACGACCUCUUGUCUGUGAGUCUCGAGGAUGGAGCGGGGCGUGAGUAUCACAUCUGGCUCCUUUGCAGGAUGUUUGGGAAGGUGGAUGCUGCCUGCGGGUUUGGGUUCUCUGGUGGAGUUUCUAUGUAUGCUGCCCAGAAGCCUUGUUUGGGAAAUCAUGCCGCUGUCCUGCAAGCAGAAUCUAAGCGCUGCUGCUCAUCCAGGAAGCUCCCACCAAAACCAGGAAGAUGCGGCACGUGAUUUUGAGAGAGGACUUAGAACACCCUGUUGAAAGGUGCGUGUGGACAGCUGUCUCCUGGCUUUGUGAAGGGAUGAGCGCCUGCCUCCUGUGUGAAGCAGACCAGCCUCACGGGGAUGGAGCAGAGCAUCACCUGUCAGCAACUUUGGUUUUGAAAAGAACCUCACGUCUUUGUGGAUGAAGCCUGUAAGCCACCAGCUCGCACACACAGGACUGGCUGCGCACACGCACUCGCAGAAUGAACAAAAAUGCACCCACAUCAGGUAAGUACUGCUCCGACUGCAAACUGGAGCCACAAGGCACAUUCCUCGGUCAUGUCGAGUUUGUUUAGCUCUGAAUCUAGGGAGUUCCUGUCAUAGCCCAGUGGAAAUGAACCUGACUAGGAUCCAUGAGGAUGUGAGUUCAAUCCCUGGCCCCACUCAGUGGGUUAAGGAUCUGGUGUUGCCAUGAGCUGUGGUGUAGGUUGCAAAUGUGGCUUGGAUCCCGUGCUGCUGUGGCUGUGGUGUAGGCUGGCAGCUACAGCUCCAAUUUGACCCUCUGGGGAAACCAGAGACCCUGGGCGCCCCUCCUCUCACUAGCCUGGGAACUUCCAUAUGUAGCAUGUGUGGCCCUAAAAAGGAAUUUUAAAAAGACUCUUUUCUUAAAUUCAGAUCUAUUUUUUUAUCAGCUGACCUCAAUUCUUAAAACGCUUUGAACAUCAUGAUGAAAUCCUUAAGACUUAAUGAAAAGUUUAAGGAUUUCUCCUCCUCAGAUGGCAGCAACAAUUAGACAGGGAACUCUUGCCCUGUUACCUGUGUAUAGGAUCAAAUGAUUCCAGACUCUGGACAAAUUCCCGAUGGCUUUUUCAAAGUCAUCCACAUCAUUUCAAGGAUCAGUACUCAGCUCCUCUGCAUAGACGCGAUCCUGGGGUCAAAGUGGAGCUGGUUUGGGGCUGCUGACUGCUGUUUAUCUCAAAGCACAGCCGCAAAGCUCUUGGCCAAAUACCAGAUGACAAAACUGAGGCCCAGAGGGCGUAAGUCCCUUGCUCAAGGUCACGUGGAUCGUUUGCAUUCAUAUCUGCCCGGAAGCUCAGAGGAGCUGGUCAAGCACAUGCCUUGGCGGACACUGAAUCCGCAGAUGGUGUUAAACACGCAGGUACGCACGAAGGAAAAUGCUGUUUUUAUCUUUCUUCAGGGCCACAUGAGCAGCAAAUGAAGUUCCCAGGCUAGGGGUUAAACUGGAGCUGCAGCCUGGCCUACACCACAUCCCCAGCAAUGGCAGAUCCUACACCACAGCUCAUGGCAACGCCCAAUCCUUAACCCACGGAGAGGGCCAGGGGUGGAACUCGGGUCCUCAUGGAGACUGGUCAGGUUUGUUACCACUGAGCCACAACCAUGCAGUCAUUUACUGAGUCACUGCUCACCCCUCUGUGCGAGGCAUGAGGGAGCCCCGGAAAGCUGUCAACCCCAAGAAGCCGUCCCUCUUGGGGGUCCUGCUCCGUCUGCACACCUCUGUGUACCCAAGGGUAGAGAGGCAGCUCCAUACCUUUGGCCACGAUGAGCGCCCCCAGGAUGCUGGGCUAAAACCUUGAAGACAGCUGAGCUGCAACGGGAACUCCUGAAAAGGCUAUUUUGACUUGAAAUAGGCACAGACUGGGAGUUAUCAGAUUGAGAGCCUGCUAAACUUUGUCACUUCAUUCUGAUAGUUUACCAGGCUGGAGACAAGAUGGUGGAGACCAGGGACCCUGGGCCUGCCUCCUCUCACGAGAACACCGAAAUCACAACUAACCGCUGAACAACCAACAAUAAAACAGACUGGAACCUACCGAAAAAGAUACUCUACGUCCAAAGACAAAGAAGAAACCACAACGAGAUGGUAGGAGGGGUGCAGUCACAAUAUAAUCAAAUCCCAUGCAGUCUGGGUGGGGGACCCACAAGCUGGAAAACAACUCUAUCAGAGGCCUUCUCCCAUCAGGCCUCCCAGCCUCGGGGUUUGGCAGCAGGAGGAGGAGCAUCCAGAGCCCCGGCUCUGAAGGCAGCUGGGCUUGAUCACAGGAGCUCCCUAAGACUUGGGGAAAAAGACUCCAUUCCUGGAGGACGCACACGCGAUCUCGUGUCCACUGGGACCCAGGGCAAGAGCACUGACUUGACAGGAGCCGGAGCCAGACCUACCUGCCAGUCUUGGGGGCUCUCCUGGGGAGGCGGGGUGGCUGCAGCUUUCUCUAGGUCAUAAGAGGUGAUGGCGGAAAUGUAGAGACACGUUCAUCUACUUGAAGUCCCCUGCCAGAGAGAGACUUCUUGCUUGGGUAAGUAGCACCAAGACCUGGUCCUAUCCAACAGCUUGCAGACUCCAGUCCUGGGACACCUCAGGCCAAACAACCAAGGGUACUGGGAACAUGGGCCCACCUAUCGGCAGACAGGCUGCCCCGUGACUUCAACCACAGCCACCCUUUCUUUCUUUUUAGGGCUGCAACCACAGCAUAUGAAGUUCCUGGGCUAGGGGUUGGAGCUGCAGGCUUAGGCCACAGCAACGGCAGAUCCAAGCCACAUCUGCAACCUACAGGGCAGCUUGUGACAAUGCUGAGGCCAGGGAUCAAACUCAUAUCGUCGUGGGUACCAGUCGGGUUAAUCCACGGAGCCACAACGAUAACUCCAACACAGCCACCUUCAUGACAAGAUCUUGCCAACCCAAAGAGCCAGGUCCACCCACCAGUGGGCAGACAUGGGCCCCUCCAACAGCAAAGCUUGCAAAAGCCUCUAGAUCAGCCUCACUGGGGCUCGGACACCAGAAGCAAGAAAACUACAAUCUCACAACCUGACUCCACAAAUACAGGUCAGAACCAGCUUUUACAUUCUUUUUUUUUUUUUUUUGCCAUAUCCAGAGCAUAGGGACUGACUCUGAGUCAUGGCUGUGGCAACAAUAGAUCCUUUAACCCACUGGUGCCACAGCAGGGACUGAACCUGCACCUCCACUGCGAUCUGAGCUGCUACCAUUGGAUUCUUAACCCACUGUGCCACAGUGAGAACUCCUUCACUGAUCUUUUCUGUUUUCUUCAUUUCCAUUUCAUUUGUUUCUGCUCUGAUCUUUAUGAUUUCUUUCCUUCUGCUAACUCUGGGUUUUGAGAUUAGUCUCCACAUGAUGUGUUUUGACUAAACACUAUGCCAAUAUGCCACUGAACAACCUAAUGGAUCACUGAAGGAAUCAAAACUACCUAUAGAGAAAUGACAAUGAAGACACAACAACCCAAAGCUUACGGGAUACAGCAAAAGCAGUUUUAAGAGGGAAACUUACAGCAAUAUAAGACUACCCCCAGAAACAAAAAUCUCAAACAACUUAACCUUAUAUCUAAAGCAACUAGAGAAAAAGAACAAAUGAAACAUGGGGGGCAGGUCUGGGACACAGGCCACCAGGUGGGGCAUGGGUGCAGAUCACAUGGGUGCAGACACUGCCGCACCCAGCAUCCUAGCCCUUCUCAAAGCAGAAGCCUCCAUGGGAAAAGACAGAAGGAUGCUCAUCGAAGAAGAUAAAGGGUCGGAGCAAGAAGUCAGCUCUGCUGGGGACAUCUCAGCAUGGAGGAUGUGCAGGAAGCUAGGAUGAGGUACCCCUUAAACCAGCUAGAAUGGCCAUCAUCAAAUAGUCUACAAACACUAAAUGCUGGAGAAGGUGCCGAGAAAAGGGAACUCUUACUCUGUUGAUAGGAAGGUAAACUGGUGCCACCACAAGGGAAAACAGUAUGGAGAUUCCUCAAAAAAACUAAAAAUAGAAAUACCAUAGGAUCCAGAAAUUGCACUUUUGUGCAUCUAUCCUGAGAAAACCAUAACUUGAAAAGAUACAUGCACCCCAAUAUUCACUGCAGUACUAUUCACAAUGGCCAAGAUGUUGAAGCAGCCUAAAUGUCCAUCAACAGGAAUGGAUAAUGAAGAUGUGGUACAUACACACAAUGGAAUAUUACUCUGCCAUAAAAGAGAAUGAAAUAAUGUCAUUUGCAGCAACAUGGACGGACCUAGAGACGAUCAUACCAAGUGAAGUUAGACAGUGAAAGACAAACAUCAUACAGAUGUCACUUACAUGUGGAACCUAAAAAAAAGAUACAAAUGAACUUAUUUGCAGAAAAGAAACAGACUGAGUUUGGAAACAAACUUAUGGUUACCAAAGGGGACAGGCACAUGUAUACUGUGUUAUGUGGAAUGACUGGCCAAUAGGGACUUGCUAUAUAGCAUGGAAAACUCUACCCAAUAUUCUAUGAUGAUCUACGUGGGAAAGCAGCUGAAAGAGAAUGGACGUGUGUACAUGUAUAACUGAAUCACUUUGUGGUAUGGCAGACAUGACCACAACCUUGUAAACCACCUGUAUUUCAGUGAAACUUAAAACAAUGAAGAAAAUUACAGAAAACAAAAAAACACAUAAACAAAAUACACAAAUAACUCAUACAACAAAACAACCCAAUGAAAAAAUGGGCAGAAGACCUAAAUAGACAUCUCCCCAAAGAAGACAUGUGAAUAGUCAGAAGGCACACGAAAAAAUGCUCAACAUCACUAAUUAUUAGAGAAAUGCAAAUCAAAACUACAAUGAGGUACCACCUCAUAUCAGUCAGUAACGACCAUCCUUUCUAUGUCCACAAAUAAUCAAUGCUGGGAGUUCCUGUUGUGGGUCAGUGGAAACAAACCCAACUAGAUCUAUGAGGAUGUGGGUGAUCAUGGCCCUGCUCACUGGUUUAAGGAUCCAGUGUUCCCACAAGCUGCAGUGUAGGUUGCAGAUGUGGCCUGGAUUUUGUGUUGCUGUGGCAAUGGCUGGCAGCUGUAGCUCUGAUAUAAACCUUAGCCUAGGAACUUCCAUAUGCCAUGGGCGUGACCCUAAAAACAAAUGAAACAAAAAGCAAGUGCUGGGAAGGGUGUAGAGAAAAGGGAACCUACUAUACUGCUGGUGGGAAUGUAAACUGGCACAACCACUACGGAAAACAGUAUGGUGGCACCUCAGAAAACUAAAUAUAGAACUACCCUCUAAGCAUGUACCCCACUCCUGGGCAUCUAUCUGGAAAAAUUACAAUUCAAAAAAAUACAUGUACCCACAUGUUCACAGCAGUGCUAUUCACAAUAGCCAAGAGAUGAAAGCAACCUCCAUGUCCAUCCACAGAUGAAUGGAUUAAGAAGACGUGGUACAUAUACACACAAGGGAAUACUACUCAGGCAUAAAAGGAAUGAAUAAUGCCGUUUGCAGUGACAUGGAUGUAACUAGAGAUUAUCAUACUAAGUGAAGUCAGAAAGACAAAGACAAAAACCACACGACAUCACAUAUAUGUGGAAUUAAAAUAUGGCCUCCUCCCCCCAGGAUUAAGAUGCUGGAGUAGAAGGACUGGAGCUCACUUUUUUCAUGAAAACAACAAAAUUACAACCAACCUCUGAACAACCUUCAAGAAAAUAGACUGGAAACUAUCAAAAAAUAUACCCUGUUUCAAAAGAUAAAGAGGAGGCCAAUCCAGAUGGUAGGAGGGGCAGUUACCUGAUAAGCAACCCCAUACCCGCCAGGUGGGCGGCCCACACACUGGAAAGUAACCGUAUCACAGAGGCUCGCCCACAGGGAGUUCUGAGCCUGUCACGUUCUCAUGCCUGGGGGUGUGGCAUUGGGAGGAGGAGCCCCCAGAGCACUGGUGCUGAGGAUCAGCCGGGCUUGUGUGCAGGAGCUCCAGAGGCCUGGGGAAACAGAGAUUCUACUCUUGAAAGGCACACAACGACUUUCAUGUGCACUGGGUCUCAAGCCAAAGCAGAGGUGCCAGAGGAAUGUGGGUCAGACCUGCCUGCAGUUCUUGGGAUGAUCUCCUGGGACAACAGGGGGUGACUGUGGCUCCUUGUCGGGGAAGGACACUGGAGGCAAAGUCUCAGGAAGAAUCAGCUUGUGCUCCUCCAGAGGUGGCCAUUAUGGAAACAUCUGGGCCCACUCAUCAGGGCUGAGAAGCCCAGGGUGGGAUCACAGUGUCCCCCCGCCCCCUGCCCCAUCAGCUACUUAAAGACGCACCAGGCAUACAGCCAGCCCUCCAAUCACACCCAGAGACAAAGCCCCACCCACCCGAGGGACAGGAAUUAGCUCCAUCUACCAGUAGGCAGGCCCCUCCCAUCAGGAAACCUCCAGCAAGCCCCCUUACUAACUUCAGCCAUUGGGGGGGCAGACAUCAGAAGUGAGAGAGGCUACAGCCCUACUGCCUGCAAAAAGGAAACCACCCCAGAAGUCUAUACAAAAUGAAAUGACUAAGAUAAAAGAACAAGAAAAAAACCCAGAAAAACACCUAAGUGAUCUGGAGAUUACCAACCUCCAUAAAAAGUCUUUAGGCUGAUGAUAGUGAAGAUGAGUCAAGAUCGAAAUAAACGGGAGGCAAAGACUGAUAAAUUACAAGAAACACCCAAAAAAGCUAAGAGAAGAUUUAAAGAUUAAGCAAGCAGAGAUGCAAAAUACAAUAAAUGAGAUAAAAAAUUCACCAGAAGGAACCAAGAAGAGAAGCCAGGAGGCAGAAGAACGAGUAAAUGAGGUGGAGGGCAGACUGAUGGAAAUCACUGACACAGAACAGCAAAGAGAAAGAAGAUUGAAAACAAAUGAAGAGAGUCUCAGGGAACUCUGGGACGACGUUAAACACACCAAGAUCCGUGUUAUAGAGGUGCCAGAAGGAGAAAAGUGGGAGAAAAGGCCAGAGAAAAUUAUUUGAAGAGAUAAGAGCCCCAAAUUUCCCUAAAAUGGGGACGGAAUCACUCACUCAAAUCCAGGAAGCACGAGUACCAUAAACGACUAAAAUAAACCCAAGGAGGAACACCCAGACACACAUUACUCAAACUGACCAAAAUUAAAGACAAAUAGAAAAUAUUGAAGGCAGCCAGGGAAAAGAAACAAAUAACACACAGGAUAACCCUGAUAAGGCUACUGGCUGAUUUUUCAGCAGAAACCCUGCAGGCCAGAAGAGAGUAGCAUUAUAUACUUGAAGUGAUGAAAGGGAAAAAACCUCCAACCAAGAUUACUCUACCCAGCAAGGCUCUUAUUUAGAUUUGAAGGAGAAAUCUAAAGCUUUACAGACAAGCAAAAGCUAGGAGGAUUCAGCAACACUAAACCAGCUUUACAUCAAAUACUAAAGGAACUUCUCUAGGAGGAAAAGAAAAGGCCACAGCUAGAAACAAAAAUAUUACAAAUGACAAGGAUCACCAGUAAAGGCAUAUGUACAGUAAAGGCAGGAAAUCAACCACACAAAAACAUACUACCAAAACCAGAAACAGUGAGAAGAGGAUAUAAAUGCAGAAUACUGGAGGUGCAUUUGCAAUUAAGAGACCAAAAACUUAAAAACAAUCUUGCAUAUACAUAUAUAGACUCCUAUGUCAAAACUUCGUGGUUAACUGCCAACCAAAAAUCUACAAUAGAUACACAUACAAUAAGAACAAGCAAUCCAAACACAACACUAACGAUAGUCAUCAAACCACAAGAGGAGAGAGCAAGAGAGGGGAAGAGAAGACCAACAAAAACACAUCCAAAACAGUUAAUAAAAUGGCAAUAAGAACAUAUGUAUCAAUAAUUACCUUAAAUGUAAACAGACUAAACGCCCCAACCAAAAGACAUUGACUGGCUGAAUGGAUACAAAAACAAGACCCUUAUCUAUGUUGCCCUCAGAGACCCACUUCAUUUCUAGGGACACAUACAAACAAAGUGAAAGGAUGGAAGAAAAUGUUCCAUGCAAAUGGGAAUCAAAAGAAAGCUGGAAUAGCAAUUCUCUUAUCAGACAAACAGACCUCAAAAUAAAGAAUAUCAUAAGAGAUAAAGAAGGACAUUACAUAAUGAUCAAUGGAUUAAUCCAAGAAGAAGAUAAUAAUUGUAAAUAUAUAUGCACCCAGCACAGGAUCACUUCAAUAUAUAAGGGAACUGUUAAAAACCUUAUAAGAAGAAAUUGACAAUAACACAGUAAUAGCAGGGGACUGUAACACCCAACUUACAGUGAUGGACAGAUCACCCAGACAGAAAAUCAACAAGGGAACACAGGGCUUAAAUGAUGCAUUAGACCAGAUGGACUUAAUAGAUUAUUUACGGAAUAUUCCAUCCCAAAGCAGCAGAAUACACAUUCUUCUCGAGUGCACACAGAACAUUCUCUAGGACAGAUCCCAUUCUGGGCCACAAAUCAAGCCUCGGUAAAUUUAAGAAAUCUGAAAUCAGAUUUCUAAGACUAGAAAUCAACAAGAAAAAAAUGCAAAAUUACCAAUACGUUGAGACUAAACAACAUGCUACUAAACAAUGAAUAGAUCACUGAGGAAAUAAAUCAAAGAGGAAAUUUAAAAACACCUAGAACCAAUGACAGCAAAAACACAAUCCAAAAUCUAUGGGAUGAGGCAAAAGCAGUUCUAAGAGGAAAGUUUACAGCAACAGAAGCCUACCUCAGUAAACAAAAAAAUCUCAAACAACCUGACUUUAUACUUAAAGCAACUAGAGAAAGAAAAACAGACAAAACCCAAAGUCAGCGAAAGGAAAGAAAUCAUAAAGAUCAGCAGAAAUCAAUGAAGUAGAAACGAAGAAAACCAUAGAAAAGAUCAAUGAAACUAAAAGCUGGUUCUUUGAAAAGAUCAACAAAAUUGAUAAACCCUUAGCCAGACUCAUCAAGAAAAAAAGAGGACUCAAAUCAAUAAAAUUACAAAUGAAAAACAAGUUACAACAGACAUUACAGAAAUACAAAUGACCAUAAGAGAUUACUACAAGCAACUAUAAACCAAUAAAACAAUCUAGAAAAAAUGGACAAAUUCUUAGGAAAAAAGUAUAAUCUUUAGAGACUAAACCAAGAUGAUAUAGAAAAGAUGAAUGGACAAAUUACAACUACUGCAAUUGAAACCGAGGAAAAAACUUCCAAUAGGAGUUCCUGUCAUCUGUCAUGGCUCAGUGGAAACAAAUUUGACUAGUAUCCAGGAGGUUCGAUCCCUGGCCUCACUCAGUGGGUUAGGGAUCUGGCGUUGCUGAGAGUUGUGGUGUAGGUCACAGACAUGCGGCUCAGAUCCCGUGUGGCUGUGGCAUAGGCCAGGGUCUACAGCUCCAAUUCCAUCCCUAGCCUGGGAACCUCCAUAGGGUGCGGC
Non-coding RNA from Sus scrofa (pig), 14835 nucleotides. The record is from RefSeq and is a predicted model, not a curated record. Lineage: Eukaryota; Metazoa; Chordata; Mammalia; Artiodactyla; Suidae.